UAGGGAUUGAUGGCUAUGAAGACAUACAUAGGAACUUACAAAGAGGUUCAGGCCUCACAUCCUUAUGGUUUUGGCUCAAAUUGCUUACACUUUUUUAUACUUCAUAACUUAAGCUUCCUUCAGUUCUUGAGCCGAGGGUCUAUGGAAACGGCCUGUCUACCUUCAUAUGGUAGAGGUAAGGUCUGCAUACACAUUACCCUUCCCAGACUUCGACUGGGUUUGUUGUUGUUGUUAUUAACGGAAGCUUCCUUCAAUCAUGGAUCAUGGAAUGAAUCAUCAUGUCUACAUAACUUAUCGGUCUAUUGUAGCUGGUUUUGCCAUUCUACCCUUUGCCUAUUUUCUUGAAAGGUAUAUCCAAGGUCAUCUCCAACCCAAAUAACAUGCAGACAAUUGUUUCAUUUCUUCAUUAAUGUAGGAAUGCAGGUGCUCUUAGCUUUACAAGGAGGCAAGACGGGACCGGUGUCGGGGCAGGAGAGAACUAGGAUGAAAUGCAGCAACCAUUUUCUGAUGCUUCGGUUGCUUUCUGCAGAAAGACAAGGCCAAAACUAACUAGCUUUGGUGUUGCAGAUAUUUGUACUCUCUCUACUGGGGCUUACACUUUGAGAAGAUAUCCGGCACAACUAUCACUGACUGCAUGGAUGAGUUUUGUCGGUGCAGCACAAUCAGCUUUCUACACAACAAUAACAACCCAGUAAAUCCCACAAGUCGGGUCUAAGGGGGUACUGUGUACGUAGACAUUACCCCUACUCCGGAGGAGUAAAGAGGCUGUUUCCGAUGGACCCCCGGCUCAAGAAGACGAAAAGAGACUAGAUCUAUGUUGCUCGGACUCUCCGAAAAUGUGGCAAGAUACGUGUCGGAUCCUCCAAAAGUAGUGCACUUUUGAAGCCGCUACAUUUUGGAGAGCGCGCAACAUAACAAUAGUUCAGUAACAGUAACAGAAGCCAGAAAGAUAAUACCAGCAUCAUAGGAACCAAAAUAUCAGUUUUCUACUCAGUAAUCCUAUAACACAAAAGAACAGCUUGGACCAUGGGUUUCAACAUUGAUUUCUGGUCUACCAUGUAUGGGGGAAUAGUGGUCUCGGGUUUAGUAGUCUACAUACAACACUGGUGCACUGAGCAAAAGGGACCUGUUUUCGCAACGGUGUUCAACCCACUCUCAAGUCUCAACCAUACAAGUUGCAGUUCUAGCAUAUUUCGUCCUUGGUGAAAAGCUCUACACAGGCAGGUAAGCAACCUUUUCAUCAUAUCCUUCAAACUUAUGGAUAGAUACUAUAUAUUGACUCCCCUCCCUUGGCUUCUUCAUAGUUUUACUUCUAUAUAUUUUGACACCCCCUAGUGAAAAUUCUGGUUCCGCCACUGGUCUCUGCCCUUUAUCUGGUGAGAAACAACAUGACUUCCAUACCUAAUCUCACGUAUGCUCACCUCCAACGGAAGACAUGAUUUUCUUUUUCUUUUCUUAGUUUGGGAUGUUCAAUUAGUUAUGUAAGAUGUGGCAUAUUAAAAUAGCAGCCAGUUCAUUCA
This is a non-coding RNA of Nicotiana tabacum (common tobacco), 1520 nucleotides long. The record is from RefSeq and is a predicted model, not a curated record. NCBI's taxonomy places the organism in Eukaryota, Viridiplantae, Streptophyta, Magnoliopsida, Solanales, Solanaceae.